CAGUCGCCGCGGGAACACGUAGGUGGCAAGCGUUGUCCGGAAUUAUUGGGCGUAAAGGGCUCGCAGGCGGUUUCUUAAGUCUGACGUGAAAGCCCCCGGCUCAACCGGGGAGGGUCAUUGGAAACUGGGAAACUUGAGUGCAGAAGAGGAAAGUGGAAUUCCAUGUGUAGCGGUGAAAUGCGCAGAGAUAUGGAGGAACACCAGUGGCGAAGGCGACUUUCUGGUCUGUAACUGACGCUGAUGUGCGAAAGCGUGGGGAUCAAACAGGAUUAGAUACCCCCGUAGUCCCUGUCUCUUAACA
RNAcentral lists this ribosomal RNA (301 nucleotides) under uncultured bacterium. RNAcentral's name for it is "partial 16S ribosomal RNA". It matches the Rfam family "Bacterial small subunit ribosomal RNA", at positions 509 to 808 of the family's 1533-position model. The record is from RNAcentral.